AGUCGAGAAUCUUCGGCAAUGGGCGAAAGCCUGACCGAGCAAUGCCGCGUGCGGGAUGAAGGCCCUCGGGUUGUAAACCGCGAAAGUGAGGAGGAAGGGCCCGUGAAGAGCGGGCCUUGACCGAUCCACAGUAAGGACGGGCUAAGUUCGUGCCAGCAGCCGCGGUAACACGAACCGUCCAAACGUUAUUCGGAAUCAUUGGGCUUAAAGGGUGCGUAGGCGGCCCAUUAAGUCGGGUGUGAAAUCCUUCGGCUCAACCGAAGAAUUGCGCCCGAUACUGAUGGGCUUGAGGGAGACAGGGGUGAGCGGAACUGAUGGUGGAGCGGUGAAAUGCGUUGAUAUCAUCAGGAACACCGGUGGCGAAAGCGGCUCACUGGGUCUCUUCUGACGCUGAGGCACGAAAGCCAGGGUAGCGAA
This 417-nucleotide ribosomal RNA is filed under the name uncultured Planctomycetaceae bacterium. RNAcentral's name for it is "bacterial SSU rRNA". It matches the Rfam family "Bacterial small subunit ribosomal RNA", at positions 353 to 772 of the family's 1533-position model. The record is from RNAcentral. Lineage: Bacteria; Pseudomonadati; Planctomycetota; Planctomycetia; Planctomycetales; Planctomycetaceae.